CAACAACAUGACACAUCUGUCCAACUAUGUUUAAGAUACUAAAACACACAUGGUGUCAGCUCAUUUUAUAAAUGAGACCGGGGCUAGUUGUCACACAUAUCUAUAUUUGUUUUUUCAUUACAAAUUCUGUUGGUUGAUGGCAUUUGUGUAUGUUACCUUUGACACUUUUGCUGUUGUUUUGUUUCAUUAUUGUUUUAAUUUUUCAGAAAAGCCUACGUGACAACAUGCUCUGCUUUUGGGGUCACAAAAGGUCACUAAAAUAUAUAAAAAAUUGACAUGGAAAUUUUUCAUUUGAUAUGAGAUAAACAAGGUCAUAUGCACUGGUGGGUUUUAAAGAUCGAUAAAUAUACUUCUGUUUAUAAGUAUAUUUAAGUAAAUAAAAGUAAUUUUGCAUAUAUUGUCUGGGUCACAAUCAUGAUAUUUCAACUCCAUCACAAACGCUGUAAAGAAAUUUGAACAGACUAAAACAAAAUAAUUAUAAUAUGCUAAUCAUAUAUAAACUUUUAUUUUCAUUUUAUUUGGUUUUGUCUCAAGAAUCAGUGAGUCAUGUGUCGCAAGAAGGAUAAUAUUUAUAUAUAGAGAGAGCCCGCUGGACAACAAAUAAAAUCUCGAGUAUAUAAUAAUCGUCAUUUCCGAUCAGCCACGCGCCUAACGAACCGUUAUCAUGAACAAGGUCAUAUAUCCACGCGUGUCAAUUAAAGAGUCAGCACGCGCGGUGUAUGAGAUAAUUUACCGUUUGACAAGCUGAUGGGAUUGACAUCUUACGUUAAGGAAAUGGCGAGAAAUUAAUACGAGUCUAUUUGACAGACAGGCUGGUUAGAUCUUUUCAAAGUUGUUUGUCCGGCGACAACACUUGUUUAUACGCUGCAGUGUCUCGAGGUGAAGGAUGUCACGCGCAUCUCUCGCGCUUUAAACAGAUGAGCGUCACGUGUGUGUGUGUGUGUCCUGUAGAGACGCUCACAUCACACACACACUUCCACUCGUGUGAUAAUGAGUGAUGAGGAGCGGAUACGUCACUCCCAAGAGGACACGAGGAGAGGUAGCGAAAACUGCCCACCUCAUAUGGUUCGGUCUUGACACGACACCAGUCCAGCAGCAUCUGUUUGACAUCUUUGGUGUUUGGGCCCCCGACUGCCGAGCCGCCUGGCACUUUAACCCUGGCCACAUGGGAUUGAG
This is a long non-coding RNA of Megalobrama amblycephala (Wuchang bream), 1176 nucleotides long. RefSeq lists it as uncharacterized. The record is from RefSeq and is a predicted model, not a curated record. Lineage: Eukaryota; Metazoa; Chordata; Actinopteri; Cypriniformes; Xenocyprididae. The transcript has 3 exons.